RNAcentral lists this ribosomal RNA (460 nucleotides) under uncultured bacterium. RNAcentral's name for it is "partial 16S ribosomal RNA". It matches the Rfam family "Bacterial small subunit ribosomal RNA", at positions 338 to 795 of the family's 1533-position model. The record is from RNAcentral.
CCUACGGGAGACUGCAGUGAGGAAUAUUGGUCAAUGGGCGCGAGCCUGAACCAGUCAAGUAGCGUGAGGGAUGACUGCCCUACGGGUUGUAAACUUCUUUUAUAAAGGAAUAAACUUAGGCACGUGAACCUUUUUGUAUGUACUUUAUGGAUAAGGAUUGGCUAACUCCGUUCCAACAGCCGGCGUCAUACGGAGGAUCCGAGCGUUAUCCGGAUUUCUUUGGGUUAAAGGGCGCGUGGGUGGGGCGUUAAGUCAGUUGUGAAAGUUUGCGGCUCAACCGUAACAUUGCAAUUGGAACUGGCAGCCUUGAGUACAGUUGAGGCAGGCGGAAUUCGCGGUGUAGCGGUGAAAUGCUUAGAUAUCACGAAGAACCCCGAUUGCGAAGGCAGCCUACUAUGCUGCCACUGACAUUGAUGCUCGAAAGUGUGGGUAUCAAACAGGAUUAGAUACCCGAGUAGUC